ACUUAUAUAGUAUAAAAAUUACAUUUAACUUCCAAUUAAAAAAAUUAUUAAUAUUUAAUAAUAUAAGUA
Molecule: transfer RNA, 69 nt
Filed under: Polistes jokahamae
Lineage: Eukaryota; Metazoa; Arthropoda; Insecta; Hymenoptera; Vespidae
Description: tRNA-Gly
Source: RNAcentral